AACAGCCAGAGCUACCUGUCUGAGUAGAAAUAUUUGAAGACUGCAAAACACAAAUUGUCAAGCUACUGGCUUCUUUGCCAUACCCACUGAUAUAAUUCUGUACCCACCAACAAGCUCUUAUUGGUGGUCUCUUCAUAACAACUACUACCCUGGCAGAAGGAAAUGGCCUAUAAAUAACUGAUGCAAUUGUGCCCUGGGAUUAUGAUGAGUCUGUAAUCCCCCUCCUCCCUCUCUCCCUCUCUCUCCCCCCCCUUUCUCUCUCCCUCUCCGUCCCUCCCGGCCCUCCCAUCAUGAUUAUCCUCACAGCCUGAGAACUAAAA
This 320-nucleotide long non-coding RNA is filed under the name Fukomys damarensis (Damara mole-rat). Its description in RNAcentral is "lncRNA (ENSFDAG00000022249.1)". The record is from RNAcentral. Lineage: Eukaryota; Metazoa; Chordata; Mammalia; Rodentia; Bathyergidae.